This 253-nucleotide ribosomal RNA is filed under the name uncultured bacterium. Its description in RNAcentral is "partial 16S ribosomal RNA". It matches the Rfam family "Bacterial small subunit ribosomal RNA", at positions 524 to 776 of the family's 1533-position model. The record is from RNAcentral.
UACGAAGGGGGCUAGCGUUGCUCGGAAUCACUGGGCGUAAAGAGCGCGCAGGCGGUCAGAUAAGUCGAAUGUGAAAGCCCCCGGCUCAACUGGGGAGGGUCAUUCGAUACUGUUCGACUCGAAGGCAGGAGAGGGAAGCGGAAUUCCCGGUGUAGUGGUGAAAUGCGUAGAUAUCGGGAGGAACACCAGUGGCGAAGGCGGCUUCCUGGCCUGUUCUUGACGCUGAGGCGCGAAAGCUAGGGGAGCAAACGGG